Molecule: ribosomal RNA, 275 nt
Filed under: uncultured bacterium
Lineage: Bacteria
Description: partial 16S ribosomal RNA
Rfam family: Bacterial small subunit ribosomal RNA
Source: RNAcentral
GCGUGAGUGAUGAAGGCCUUAGGGUUGUAAAGCUCUUUUGGCGGGGACGAUAAUGACGGUACCCGCAGAAUAAGUCCCGGCUAACUUCGUGCCAGCAGCCGCGGUAAUACGAAGGGGACUAGCGUUGUUCGGAAUCACUGGGCGUAAAGCGCACGUAGGCGGAAUUGUAAGUCAGGGGUGAAAUCCCGGGGCUCAACCUCGGAACUGCCUUUGAUACUGCGAUUCUCGAGUCCGAUAGAGGUGGGUGGAAUUCCUAGUGUAGAGGUGAAAUUCGU